RNAcentral lists this unclassified non-coding RNA (360 nucleotides) under uncultured fungus. Its description in RNAcentral is "sequence contains ITS1". The stretch from base 1 to 105 matches the Rfam family "5.8S ribosomal RNA", at positions 50 to 154 of the family's 154-position model. The record is from RNAcentral. Lineage: Eukaryota; Fungi.
GAAAUGCGAUAUGCAAUGCGAAUUGCAGAAUUCCGCGAGUCAUCAGAUCUUUGAACGCAGCCCGCGCUGAAGGGAUAUCCUUUCAGCAUGUUUGUUUCAGUGUGUUUAGAUUGAUAUCCUAUACCUUAAUGUGAUUGAAAUAUGUCUCAUAACAUAUUUCUCUCAUUAAACAAGGAUACAUGAGAUCAUAUACUGAUCUAACGAAGUGGUCACUUUUUUAUAAGUGAUUUCGUUAGGUUUAUAAACAGUAUGGAUCACAUAAUAAUUUCUCUUAGAUAUUAUUAUAGCAUGUAUUAUAUAUUAUAUCAAUCUCUUCAAUCUCGGCACCUGAAAUCAAGCAAGAACACCCGCUGAACUUAA